RNAcentral lists this long non-coding RNA (3602 nucleotides) under Homo sapiens (human). RNAcentral's name for it is "long non-coding RNA NONHSAT154936.1". Lineage: Eukaryota; Metazoa; Chordata; Mammalia; Primates; Hominidae. The record is from RNAcentral.
CACCAAUGAUAAACACAUUUAUUGCAGUGUAAUUUACAAGAUUUCAACCCAGAAAGCUACUUAAAUAUUCAAAAAAAGAUGGGGAGCAUUAAAUACAUUAUGAUACACGUGAUAAACAGCAAAACAGCCCUUAAAGUCUGUACUUUUAAUAAUAUUUCAUACCCUGGGGAAACACUUGCCACAGGAUAAUGAUGAAUAAAAGAAGAAACCCAAACUAAAAAUUGAGUGUCAUUCCAGCUACAGGAAAAGAUAAACAUGUUCCCAGAGAAAAAUCCUGAGAAAAAGCAACACCAAAAUCUUGAGAAUGUGUAUUUAAAAAACAAACAAUUGCAUAGCUGAUGAUUUUUAUCUUAUUCUGUGUUUUGUUCUGAAUGUUCACAAUUGUAGCAAACCUGCAAACUUUGUGAUGAACAACAACAGCAAAACCACAGAAAAUGCAAAAACAAACGUGUCUUUUUUCUUCAGAUAUUCUGUGAAUCUCUUGAGCAUCACAACUUUAGGGACCACCUGCUGUGCCCCCCUAUAGCAGUUCCUAGCACCGCCUCUCCUAAGACGGGUUAGGGUCACACUGAGAAACCACACUCAGAAACCUGGUGAAUAGUAGGUUAAUAAAAUAAAGGUAUAACUAGGCUUUCUUGGCGUCAAAACUACAGGUGCCUUUCAUUCUUCUUCAGUCCCAAAUGCAAAUCAUUUCUCAUGUUUUUUUAAAAUGGAUUUUAGGCUGGGCGAGGUGGCUCACUCCCAUAAUCCCAGCACUUGGGGAGGCUGAGCUGGGCAGAUGGCUGAGCCUAGAAGACCAGCCUGGGCAACAGGACGAAACACCGUAUCUACAGAAAAAUCAAAUCGAUCAAUAAAUAAAAUGGAUGUUGUUUUUCAGAGCAAGUUUAGAUUUGCAGAAAAAUUGCAGAGCAGGUACAGAGAGUUCUGAUGUCCAACCUUCCUCCUGUGCGUUGUUCUGGUUUCACAUGUUCGUGUUGUAAUUGAGUGCGUGCACACUCAGUAAAUGCGAAAUGGUUUCAUCACAACCGCACCGAUGCAGUUCCUAAAAGAAACACACGACAGCCGAUUUUGCUUCUCAAAAUCGCUGCAUUCAGGGUUUCCGCCGUCACCCUGCUGGCAGUGAACUAGAGGACCCGUCCCACCGGAGCUGGUCCAUGGAGAGGUGCCACAGCCUGUGAGCCACGGCAGAGCGGAGAAGCCUGGGACCCCUGUCACCUCUCAGAGCAGCGCCUCACAUGGCAGAAGGAGCUGCUUUCCGAAGAGCUAAAGGUUGCCAUAAAUAUUUAUAAGAGACCUGGCAUUGCUGCGCUGGAGGGCAGUGUGUUAUGAUAAAAGUCACAAAUGGAGCUGAAAAAACAGUGGCUUCUACAUGACAGCUACGUGUGUGUGUGUGUGUGUGUGUAUGUAUGUGUGUGUGUAUGUAUGUGUGUGUGCACGUGUGUGGGGAUACGUAUUUGCACACAUGUGUGUUCAAUCUGUGGAUACGGUACCUACGUGCACUUCUGUACCUGGUUUCUUCCUUUUUCUACACAUACAUUAUUUAUCUGUUUUUUAAAAUUCAACUUUUAUUGCUCCUUGUCCUGCCGGUGGCCCUGGCAACAUGCCACGCCGGACUCCAGCUUAGUUUCCUUGUUGCCUUGCAGCCAAACUUACGCAGUGUGCAGACGGAGCUGCUCAGAGGGGAGGGGCAGCGAGCAGGUGCCACGUCCACACCGGGUGAGGCGUGAGGUGAGGGCUCCCCCGCGCCGCCCUGGCGUCCAGGUGGUGAGGGCUGCACGGAAACGUGGACUUCGGCAGAACAUGUGUGCGCCACGGAGCGGCUGCGUGCAGCCCGCAGUUUAGAAACCCAUUUUUGGAGCAAGCAAGCAGACUGAAUGGAAGUGAUGCUCCUUGAAGAUGGGAGAGAGAGCUGGAGCUCAUCUGUCCUGGCAUCAGAGAACCGUGACUCCGGAGGGUGGGAGAGGCAGGCCCGAGUCAUCUCUGCCCUGGGGCCCCUUCCCAAUGUGUCCUGUCUUCCUCCCUAGUGAGGGGAGUCUAAUUUAGAGUGGGAAGUGGAGAGGAAUGCUGGCCAGGUGGGAAGUUGGGGGGCUGCGCCAUGACCCGCCACACUUGGCUGGGUGGCUCCAGGGAACAUCCUCUGCCUCCCCUCCAGUGCAGGAGUGAGUGAAGCAGCUGCCUCUGUGGCUGCCGACGCUGGCUACGCACAGCAAGGGAGGAGGCUGAGACAUGAGGAAACCUGGCCCUCUAGGCGGGCACUUUGGAAGCUCGCUGGCAUGCUGCUGGAGACCCACCGGCAACCACGAGGACAAGUGGGGACCUGGUGACAUUCCAGCUCUGCCAGCCCUCCCAGAAUAAAGGGGAAUGGCAGCAAAUCAAGAGGCGGAGGCGUUUCAAUGCCAUUUUGCUGUGCUGACUUUUCCUUUUGGACAUUGCGAACAAGAGAAGAAAGCAGCUCCCUUAACUGUAGUACAAAAAAAAUUCAGAAAAGAGGGCAUUUUAAGGGUAACAUUUUUCUUGCUGCAAUGACUCAUGGAAGACAGAAAGUGAGAGGCUUGCUGAAAGGCGAAAGACAGAGCCAAAAAAGCAAAACUCAAGUCCUAUUUACAAAACGACGGGCCACAACGGACUCUCCAGUAACAUGAUAUUGUACAUUGUCCUUUAAAUCCUGAACAGAUCUUCCUUCCAAAUCCUUUACUGCCUCAGAGUUGUUAAUCACAAAAUGAAGGUUUCUGCCACCAAAAAAAAUUGACCACAGAUGUUUCCAGAAAAGAAAGAGGAAAGAACAGCCAUUCACCACGCCCGUGUGGGGUGUUGAGGCUGCAAUGCUGAGGUCCCUGAAAACACAGGCAUGAGCAGUGCUUGUCCUUUCCAGGGACCCGAGGACAGCGAGUCACAGAGCGGCUGCAGGUGCAAGGCCAUUCCUCAUAGAAACCGUGUGUCCAGGUGUCAGGCAUAUUUGUCAUGGUUCCUCAAAGGGGAAACAUUCAUUUAUAAUUUUGAAAAACAAAAACAAAAGAACGACAUGAAAGGAGAGGCCUUAACUAAAAAGAACAAUUCACAAUUGCCAAGCAGUUGAGGAGGUCUUAUAAGAAACUCUGGGAGUUAAACAAGAAGUCAAAAGGGCUGGAUUUCACGGGCAGCGUCCUCCUUACCUUCUUGUGCUAGAAGGCUGGAUCUGGGGCUUUUCAAAGGCAAUGAAGACAGGCCAGGCACGGUGGCUCAGGGCUGUAAUCCCAGCACUUUGGGAGGCUGAGGUGGGUGGAUCACCUGAGGUCAGGAGUUCAAGACCGUCCUGGCCAACAUGGAGAAACGCUGUCUCUAUUAAAAAUACAAAAAUUAGCUGGGUGUGGUGGCAGGUGCCUGUAGUUCCAGCUACCCGUGAGCCUGAGGCAGGGGAAUCACUUGAUUCCCGCCAGGAGGCGGAGGUUGCAGUGAGCCGAGAUCCCACCGCUGUGCUCCAGCCUGGCCGACAGAGUGAGACUCUGUCUCACAAAACAAACAAACACAACAAAGGCAAAUAAAAUCGUUGUUUGAGCAGCCACAUGACGUUCAGUCUUAUGUAUUCUCCAGAUAUAUUAACAGAACUGUAAGUUUUCAAGCAG